CCCUUAGAUGUCCUGGGCCGCACGCGCGCUACACUGAUGCAUGCAACGAGUUUAUAACCUUGGCCUGAAAGGUCUGGGUAAUCUUUUGAACGUGCAUCGUGAUAGGGAUAGAUUAUUGCAAUUGUUAAUCUUGAACGAGGAAUUCCUAGUAAACGCGAGUCAUCAGCUCGCAUUGAUUACGUCCCUGCCCUUUGUACACACCGCCCGUCGCACCUACCGAUUGAAUGGUUCGGUGAAGAUCUCGGACUUCGAUAUUUAUUCUUUAUUGAGUUUAUAUUGUGGGAAGUUAUCUAAACCUCAUCAUUUAGAGGAAGGUGAAGUCGUAACG
RNAcentral lists this ribosomal RNA (328 nucleotides) under uncultured eukaryote. RNAcentral describes it as "partial 18S ribosomal RNA". It matches the Rfam family "Eukaryotic small subunit ribosomal RNA", at positions 1470 to 1796 of the family's 1831-position model. The record is from RNAcentral.